This 470-nucleotide ribosomal RNA is filed under the name Pulcratis reticulatus. RNAcentral's name for it is "partial 16S ribosomal RNA". It matches the Rfam family "Bacterial large subunit ribosomal RNA", at positions 1948 to 2619 of the family's 2925-position model. The record is from RNAcentral. Lineage: Eukaryota; Metazoa; Arthropoda; Malacostraca; Decapoda; Xanthidae.
GUGCAAAGGUAGCAUAAUCAUUAGGAGUUUAAUUGGAACCUGGUAUGAAGGGUUGGACAAAGGAAAAACUGUCUUUAUAGUGGAAAUUGAAGUUUACUUUUAAGUGAAAAGGCUUAAAUAUAUCAGGGGGACGAUAAGACCCUAUAAAACUUUACAGAAAUUUAAAUUUAGUUAAUAUUGAUUAAUAAAGAUUAAGUUUAAUUAUUUUGUUUUGUUGGGGUGAUGUGAGUAUAAUUAUUGGUAACUGCUUAGGGAAAAUACUGAAAUAAGAGAUUUAUAUGAAUAUGAUCCUUUUUAGAGAUUAAAAGACUAAGUUACUUUAGGGAUAACAGCGUUAUUUCUCUUGAGAGUUCAUAUCGAAAGAGGAGAUUGCGACCUCGAUGUUGAAUUAAAAUAUCUAUAUAAUGUAGCCGUUAUAAAAGAGGGUCUGUUCGACCUUUAAAUUUUUACAUGAUUUGAGUUCAAACCGG